GAUUUAUUUUAUUUACAGGAAUUUACUGUACAGCAUCAGCAAGGAGUGCAAUUUCAGAUCUUUGUGUCUGCUGCAGGAUGUAUGCUUUGCAGCUUGGAUUGUUAAAACAUGGGCCGAGGCUUCCAUACAAGAACGAACUUCAACUUGGCUCUACCACCAUCAGCACUUGGCUGGCGCCUGCCGAAUGAAUCAUCGCAGGUUUUGCUUGCCUGUGUCUACAAGAACCUUCACACGUGACCUGCGACAGAAAGCAUUUGUGGGCAGCCAGUGCUCUCCUACAAAGACUGGCCUGCUCAGGCUGCGGCAGCAAUCAUCCUCGAGUUCUAUGCAUGGCCACCUUUGCUGCUAUUUGUCACUCUUGUUAAUUACCCGUUCUGCAUAUCUUCUCAUUUAUUAGGUAAUAAAGUUUGAC
This is a long non-coding RNA of Dermacentor silvarum, 412 nucleotides long. RefSeq lists it as uncharacterized. The transcript is spliced from 2 exons. The record is from RefSeq and is a predicted model, not a curated record. Lineage: Eukaryota; Metazoa; Arthropoda; Arachnida; Ixodida; Ixodidae.